CCGUGAAACUGCGAAUGGCUCAUUAAAUCAGUUAUCGUUUAUUUGAUAGUACCUUCCUACUUGGAUAACCGUGGUAAUUCUAGAGCUAAUACAUGCUAAAAACCCCGACUUCGGGAGGGGUGUAUUUAUUAGAUAAAAAACCAAUGCCCUUCGGGGCUCCUUGGUGAAUCAUGAUAACUCAACGGAUCGCAUGGCCUUGCGCCGGCGACGGUUCAUUCAAAUUUCUGCCCUAUCAACUUUCGAUUGUAGGGUAUUGGCCUACAAUGGUUUCAACGGGUAACGGGGAGUUAGGGCUCGACUCCGGAGAGGGAGCCUGAGAAACGGCUACCACAUCCAAGGAAGGCAGCAGGCGCGCAAAUUACCCAAUCCCGACACGGGGAGGUAGUGACAAUAAAUACUGAUACAGGGCUCUUUUGGGUCUUGUAAUUGGAAUGAGUACAAUUUAAAUACCUUAACGAGGAACAAUUGGAGGGCAAGUCUGGUGCCAGCAGCCGCGGUAAUUCCAGCUCCAAUAGCGUAUAUUAAAGUUGUUGCAGUUAAAAAGCUCGUAGUUGAACCUUGGGCCUGGCUGGCCGGUCCGCCUCACCGCGUGCACUGGUCCGGCCGGGCCUUUCCUUCUGGAGAGCCGCAUGCCCUUCACUGGGUGUGUCGGGGAACCAGGACUUUUACUUUGAGAAAAUUAGAGUGUUCAAAGCAGGCCUUUGCUCGAAUACGUUAGCAUGGAAUAAUAGAAUAGGACGUGCGGUCCUAUUUUGUUGGUUUCUAGGACCGCCGUAAUGAUUAAUAGGGAUAGUCGGGGGCAUCAGUAUUCAAUUGUCAGAGGUGAAAUUCU
This 832-nucleotide ribosomal RNA is filed under the name Hysterium angustatum. Its description in RNAcentral is "SSU rRNA". It matches the Rfam family "Eukaryotic small subunit ribosomal RNA", at positions 79 to 920 of the family's 1831-position model. The record is from RNAcentral. Lineage: Eukaryota; Fungi; Ascomycota; Dothideomycetes; Hysteriales; Hysteriaceae.